UCAAUAAGCGGAGGACAAGAAACCAACAGGGAUUGCCUUAGUAACGGCGAGUGAAGCGGCAAAAGCUCAGAUUUGAAAUCUGGCGUCAUUUUGGCGUCCGAGUUGUAAUCUGUAGAGGAGUAUUCGAGUGUAGCUUUGGCUUAAGUUCCUUGGAACAGGGCGUCAUAGAGGGUGAGAACCCCGUUAACGGCCUUUGUCUUAUGCUCAUGUGAAUCUCCUUCAACGAGUCGAGUUGUUUGGGAAUGCAGCUCUAAAUGGGUGGUAAAUUCCAUCUAAAGCUAAAUACUGGCAAGAGACCGAUAGCGCACAAGUAGAGUGAUCGAAAGAUGAAAAGAACUCUGAACAGAGAGUUAAAUAGUACGUGAAAUUGUUGAAAGGGAAGCACUUGCGACCAGACGCACUUGCAGCCGAUCAACCUCCAUUCUUGGUGGUGCACUCGGUUGUAGGUGGGUCAGCAUCAGUUACGGCGGUGGGAAAAAGACCUUGGGAAUGUGGCUCUCUUCGGGGAGUGUUAUAGCCCUUGGUGUAAUGCUGCCAGCUGUGACUGAGGACCGCGCUUCGGUGAGGAUGCUGACAUAAUGGUCGUAAGUGACCCGUCUUGAAACACGGACCAAGGAGUCUAACAUCUAUGCGAGUGUUUGGGUGUUGAAACCCUUACGCGUAAUGAAAGUAAAUGGAGGUGGGAACCGCAAGGUGCACCAUCGACCGAUCCUGAUGUUUUCGGAUGGAUUUGAGUAGGAGCAUAGCUGUUGGGACCCGAAAGAUGGUGAACUAUGCCUGAAUAGGGUGAAGCCAGAGGAAACUCUGGUGGAGGCUCGCAGCGGUUCUGACGUGCAAAUCGAUCGUCAAAUUUGGGUAUAGGGGCGAAAGA
RNAcentral lists this ribosomal RNA (871 nucleotides) under Phylloscypha phyllogena. RNAcentral describes it as "partial large subunit ribosomal RNA". It matches the Rfam family "Eukaryotic large subunit ribosomal RNA", at positions 43 to 930 of the family's 3401-position model. The record is from RNAcentral. Lineage: Eukaryota; Fungi; Ascomycota; Pezizomycetes; Pezizales; Pezizaceae.